AUACGGAGGAUCCGAGCGUUAUCCGGAUUUAUUGGGUUUAAAGGGUGCGCAGGCGGGAGAUUAAGUCGGCGGUGAAAUUUUUCAGCUCAACCGUAAAAGAGCCUUGGAAACUGGUUUUCUUGAGUGUAGAUGAGGAAAGCGGAAUUUGUGGUGUAGCGGUGAAAUGCAUAGAUAUCACGAGGAACUCCGAUUGCGCAGGCAGCUUAAUAAACUACUACUGACGCUCAGGCACGAAGGCGUGGGGAACAAACAGGAUUAGAUACCCUGGUAGUCCACGCAGUAAACGAUGAUUACUAGCUGUUUGCGAUACAAUGUAAGCGGCUGAGCGAAAGCGUUAAGUAAUCCGCCUGGGGAGUACGUUCGCAAGAAUGAAACUCAAAUGAAUUGACGGGG
This 393-nucleotide ribosomal RNA is filed under the name uncultured bacterium. RNAcentral describes it as "partial 16S ribosomal RNA". It matches the Rfam family "Bacterial small subunit ribosomal RNA", at positions 523 to 918 of the family's 1533-position model. The record is from RNAcentral.